This 191-nucleotide unclassified non-coding RNA is filed under the name uncultured fungus. Its description in RNAcentral is "sequence contains ITS1". Lineage: Eukaryota; Fungi. The record is from RNAcentral.
UUAACUAUUAUAUAGUACUCAGACGACACCAAUAUUCAGAGUUUAGGGGUCCUUUGGCGGGCACUUACCAGCCAGAGCCGGUAGCCGAAGCGGCCCGCCAAAGCAACAAUGGUAUAGUAUUCAAGGGUGGGAGAUCUACCCGUGAGGGCAUGAACUCUGUAAUGAUCCUUCCGCAGGUUCACCUACGGAAA